Oncorhynchus kisutch (coho salmon) is the source of this 1584-nucleotide long non-coding RNA. RefSeq lists it as uncharacterized. The record is from RefSeq and is a predicted model, not a curated record. The transcript has 3 exons. NCBI's taxonomy places the organism in Eukaryota, Metazoa, Chordata, Actinopteri, Salmoniformes, Salmonidae.
AAUGAGGAGAAUACGUCAUUGUAAAUUAGGGUGACCAGACGUCCCCGGAAGUGUCCCCGUUUUUAACAGUGCAUUAAAAACAGACUGCAAAGUGAAAUAAUAUUUGACGUGGCAAGAAAGACCGGGCAGCAGAGCCUACCGGUUGACGUCUCAAUUGCGUUGUGCUUGUUUUGUCCAGCAGAGCGGGCUGCCCGCUAUAGCAGCUUCAUUCAGUCUUCUACUAACUACUUGCUCGCUCUAGUUUUAGAGAAAACUGCUGUGGAAAACUCGGCCAGAACCUAACAAGUGUCAAGUGAAUCCACAACAUCACCACAAACGUAUUUUCAAGCCAGAUUGGAGAGGAAGGAGAAGAAGAAAUGAAGGGAGUAAAACGAGUGAAGCGAGGAGAGUGUAGAAGAGUGAGGUGGAAAGGUGAAGAGAAGGAAAGGAAGAAAGAGAAGGAAGACGGGUGAAGAAAAGAGGAGGAGAAAGAUUGGAGCAGAAGAAAAAGUUAAGAGAGUAAGAAGAGCAACCUCCCCUGCCAGGAGUUCACGGUGAAGCUGGCCAAAGAGAGCAAUCCUGAAGAAGAUACAUUCUUCUGAGAAAUAUACAGAUUAGGCUACCAGGACCCAUGAAUGGCUGUUCAGAUCGGACAGUUCUGUCUUGUCUGUAGUGUUUCUGUAAUACAGUUGUUUUCUCUGUCACAAUGUGCCUGUUAGACUAAAUACACAAAACCGGAAUUGUCCCCCUUUUUUAUUUAAUUGAUAAUAACAUUGGAUAUUUUAAUUAUAUAUUGACCGCCAAACUGGAAAUAUCCCCGGUUUUAAUUUCAGAAAUGUGGUCACCUUAUUGUAAAUGUGAUAAAAUAAUGGAUUGUUUGGUGGACCUCAGAUUUCUUCAAAAGAGAGAGUUACUGGAAUUUGCCAUGAUCAUUUUUAGAUUGCUGAGGUGUUGUUUUAUAACUCAAGUGAAACAAGUCAUUUAGGUUUACACAGGCAGCCCAAUUCUGAUCUUUGUUCCAUUAAUUGGUGGAGCUGAUCUGAUUGGUCAAAAGACCAAUUUGUGAAGAAAAAUUCAGAAUCGGGCUGCCUAUGUAAAUGCUGCCAAACAUAUUACAUAUGUACACUCACAUGGAGUAUUUGAAAACAAGAACAUUAUCAAAUUAAAUGUUUGGUGGUUUAUCUUACAGUGAACGUUGGAGGAGAAGUAGGUUGUGCAACCAUAGACAGUCCAAUGUACUUGAUUGUGUCAGUUUCUGUUGAAAGGGGAAAGGCAGGCGUGCAGAAUCAACUAGUGUUUCUCAUUUUCAAGAUCCCGUUGACAUUUCAACAAUAUUUUAAUACUCAAUUAAUCCAUGGUUACCGUGAAUAGGUGUUACAUGUUCUUAUAAUUAUUCAUGUUCUUAUAAUUAACCACCUUUCUAAAUUGCAGUCCAGUAAGUACAGUAUAGUGUAUCAUCAACAUCCAUCUCUACCUUGAGGAGUGUAACAGUCUGUACAGUCUGUUCUGUCUUGAGCACAUCUACAGAUUCCACCAGAUCCAUUCUUCUGAUAUGGCGCACUGACCAUUACCCUGUGGGUGAGAAAUAAAAAUGUUAGUUCGGUC